GACGAACGCUGGCGGCGUGCUUAACACAUGCAAGUCGAACGGAAAGGCCCUGCUUUUGUGGGGUGCUCGAGUGGCGAACGGGUGAGUAACACGUGAGUAACCUGCCCUUGACUUUGGGAUAACUUCAGGAAACUGGGGCUAAUACCGGAUAGGAGCUCCUGCUGCAUGGUGGGGGUUGGAAAGUUUCGGCGGUUGGGGAUGGACUCGCGGCUUAUCAGCUUGUUGGUGGGGUAGUGGCUUACCAAGGCUUUGACGGGUAGCCGGCCUGAGAGGGUGACCGGCCACAUUGGGACUGCGAUACGGCCCAGACUCCUACGGGAGGCAGCAGUGGGGAAUAUUGCACAAUGGGCGGAAGCCUGAUGCAGCAACGCCGCGUGCGGGAUGACGGCCUUCGGGUUGUAAACCGCUUUCGCCUGUGACGAAGCGUUAGUGACGGUAAUGGGUAAAGAAGCACCGGCUAACUACGUG
Molecule: ribosomal RNA, 468 nt
Filed under: uncultured bacterium
Lineage: Bacteria
Description: partial 16S ribosomal RNA
Rfam family: Bacterial small subunit ribosomal RNA
Source: RNAcentral